CCGAGAGAUUGGCAUCAAGGUUAGAGAAGAAGGUCAGGCAAUAUCCAAGCACGUUUUUGAAGCUAUCAUCUAUUUGAUAAUUCCGAUACUGUUCAAUUUUUUUUGUACUUAUUGUCAACUUAAUUUUUAAAAAACAAGCAAAUUUUGAGUUAAGAUCAACAGUUCAUUCAUUAGUAAUUGAGGUAUAAAUUUAUUAUAGAAAUUACUAGGAUUUUAUUUAGGAUUUAGGGUUUGGUUUAGGGUUUGAUUAGGAUUUGAUUUAGAGUUAGGAUUUAGUUAGGAUUUAAGAUUUAGUUUAGAGUUUGAUUAGAAUUUGAUUUAGGAUUUAAGAUUUAAUUUAGAGUUUGAUUAGAAUUUGAUUUAGGAUUUAAGAUUUGAUUUAGGACUUGGUUAAGGUUUGAUUUAGGAUUUGGAUUUAGUUUAGGAUUUAGAAUUUGAUUAGGAUUUGGUUAGGAUUUAGUUUAGGGUUUAAAGUUUGGUUAGAAUUUGGUUAGGAUUUGAUUUAAGGUUUAGGAUUUUAUUUGGAUUUAUUUAAGAUUUAAGAUUUAAUUAAUUUUUGGCCUAAAGUUUGAAUGAAGUCUAAUAUGAUUUCAACUAGGAUUAAAUUAAGAUUGAAUUGAGAUGUAUUUGAGAUAUGUUUGUGAUCAUUCUAAUAUUUCUUUAAGACUUUUUAUUGUUUCUUUGUAAUUCCUUUGAGGUUUCUUUGAAUUUGAUUAAAGCUUGCUUAGUAUUGUUAUGGUUUAAUUAGAGUUUAGUUAGUAUUCUAUUAGAAUUAAGAUUUUUUUGUUGUAACUUCCAUUCUACCUUCCACAACCAGGUGCCUGGAGUAUU
Molecule: long non-coding RNA, 831 nt
Filed under: Physcomitrium patens
Lineage: Eukaryota; Viridiplantae; Streptophyta; Bryopsida; Funariales; Funariaceae
Description: long non-coding RNA (PPAT_LNC004086)
Source: RNAcentral